This 497-nucleotide ribosomal RNA is filed under the name uncultured bacterium. RNAcentral describes it as "partial 16S ribosomal RNA". It matches the Rfam family "Bacterial small subunit ribosomal RNA", at positions 28 to 507 of the family's 1533-position model. The record is from RNAcentral.
GAUGAACGCUGGCGGCGUGCCUAAUACAUGCAAGUCGAGCGAACAGAUGAGGAGCUUGCUCCUCUGACGUUAGCGGCGGACGGGUGAGUAACACGUGGAUAACCUACCUAUAAUACUGGUAUAACUUCGGGAAACCGGAGCUAAUACCGGAUAAUAUAUUGAACCGCAUGGUUCAAUAGUAAAAGACGGUUUUGCUGUCACGUAUAGAUGGAUCCGCGCCGCUUUAGAUAGUUGGUAAGGUAAUGGCUUAGCAAGGCAACGAGGCGUAGCCGACCUCAGAGGCUGGUAGGCGACCUUGGAAGGGAGCCACGCUCAAGAGUACUACGGUAGGGAGCAGUAGGGAAUGUGACGCAAUGGUGGAAAGUUUGGCGGAGCAACGUCGAGUGAGAUAUGAAGGUGUUGGGAUCGUAAUACUGUGCUAUUAGGGAAGAACAAAUGUGUAAGUAACUAAGGACGUCUUGACGGUAAUGAAUCAGAAAGCCACGGCUAACUACGUG